This is a non-coding RNA of Camellia sinensis, 734 nucleotides long. Lineage: Eukaryota; Viridiplantae; Streptophyta; Magnoliopsida; Ericales; Theaceae. The record is from RefSeq and is a predicted model, not a curated record.
UUUCUUCCCCUCAUUUUGUUUCUCAUGAUCUCAAAUCCCAAAACCCCAAUCCCUAACCUGACACUCCCUCUCGCUCUCCUCUCUCUUUAUCUCUUCUGCCUCCUACGUCGUCGCCUCUGGUGCCGCCACCGGUGACCACCACUGCCACUGCCACACCUUCUCCCUCACCGCCCUCUCUCUCUCUUCUCCUAUUCUCUUCACCGAUCUUCACCAAUCGUCUACUUCGUCUUCUCAACUCUCUUCGUCGGUUCCAAAAUCCUAACCUUACCUUCAAUCUUCUCCAAUCCCUUCACAAGCCAUAUGUUCAAAUCCAGACACUACACUCCCUUCAACUGUUUCAGAACCUUUGUCUACAAAGGACUACCGUCGGACUCGUCAAAACAGCGAUCUUGAAUGGGCUAAUUGUGACGAGAAAGAUCAGGCAGCGAGGCACAUUAAUGCGUCAGAAACGAAAUCAGAAGAUGGACAGCUCAUCUUUGCCCUAAUUUUUCUCUCCAUUUCUGUUCAAAUGCAAGUACACACACUCAAAAAGAAGUACCCAUCACUUGAUAUGGAGAUAUUCUUCGAGUAGGAGCUUACUUCUUGUGAGAUGCAUGUCUGUGAAGAAUGCAACUAACUUUUGUUUUUGUUACCAACGGAGAAUGAUGAGGAAAACUUUUAUUUUUUAUUUAUGUUAUUUUGAAUUGUGAACAACAUUAUGUAUUUAAACAUUAUAUAUGUAUUAUGCAAUAUUA